Molecule: transfer RNA, 72 nt
Filed under: Rhizobium skierniewicense
Lineage: Bacteria; Pseudomonadati; Pseudomonadota; Alphaproteobacteria; Hyphomicrobiales; Rhizobiaceae
Description: tRNA-Gly
Source: RNAcentral
GCGUUGAUCUAUAGGCGAUAGAUCAAGCUUCCCAAGCUGAAUACGAGGGUUCGAUUCCCUUCACCCGCUCCA